CCUACGGGACGCAGCAGUGGGGAAUAUUGGACAAUGGGCGAAAGCCUGAUCCAGCCAUGCCGCGUGUGUGAAGAAGGCCUUCGGGUUGUAAAGCACUUUCAGUGGGGAAGAAAGCCUUGGGGCUAAUACCCUCGAGGAAGGACAUCACCCACAGAAGAAGCACCGGCUAACUCCGUGCAAGCAGCCGCGGUAAUACGGAGGGUGCGAGCGUUAAUCGGAAUUACUGGGCGUAAAGCGCGCGUAGGCGGUCUGAUAAGCCGGUUGUGAAAGCCCCGGGCUCAACCUGGGAACGGCAUCCGGAACUGUCAGGCUAGAGUGCAGGAGAGGAAGGUAGAAUUCCCGGUGUAGCGGUGAAAUGCGUAGAGAUCGGGAGGAAUACCAGUGGCGAAGGCGGCCUUCUGGACUGACACUGACGCUGAGGUGCGAAAGCGUGGGUAGCAAACAGGAUUAGAUACCCGGGUAGUC
RNAcentral lists this ribosomal RNA (465 nucleotides) under Vreelandella stevensii. Its description in RNAcentral is "partial 16S ribosomal RNA". It matches the Rfam family "Bacterial small subunit ribosomal RNA", at positions 338 to 795 of the family's 1533-position model. The record is from RNAcentral. Lineage: Bacteria; Pseudomonadati; Pseudomonadota; Gammaproteobacteria; Oceanospirillales; Halomonadaceae.